AGAGUUUGAUCAUGGCUCAGGACGAACGCUGGCGGCGUGCUUCACACAUGCAAGUCGAACGGGGCUCAUCCGGUCGUAAGACUGGAGAAGGCCUAGUGGCGAACGGGUGAGUAACACGUGAGGAACCUGCCCCGAAGACCGGGAUAACAGCGGGAAACCGCUGCUAAUACCGGAUGCCCCCACCGGGCCGCAUGACCUGGUGAGGAAAUGGGCUUCCGCUUCGGGAGGGCCUCGCGGCCUAUCAGCUAGUUGGUGGGGUAAAGGCCUACCAAGGCUACGACGGGUAGCUGGUCUGAGAGGACGACCAGCCACACUGGGACUGAGACACGGCCCAGACUCCUACGGGAGGCAGCAGUGGGGAAUCUUGCGCAAUGGGCGAAAGCCUGACGCAGCAACGCCGCGUGAGGGAUGAAGGCCUUCGGGUUGUAAACCUCUUUCAAGCAGGGACGAUAGUGACGGUACCUGCAGAAGAAGCUCCGGCCAACUACGUGCCAGCAGCCGCGGUGAUACGUAGGGAGCGGGCGUUGUCCGGAUUCAUUGGGCGUAAAGAGCUCGUAGGCGGCUCAGUAAGUCAGGUGUGAAAUCCUCAGGCUCAACCUGGGGUCGCCAUCUGAUACUGCUGUGGCUAGAGCCCGGUAGGGGCGCACGGAAUUCCUGGUGUAGCGGUGAAAUGCGCAGAUAUCAGGAGGAACACCGGUGGCGAAGGCGGUGCGCUGGGCCGGAGCUGACGCUGAGGAGCGAAAGCGUGGGGAGCGAACAGGAUUAGAUACCCCAGUAGUCC
This 781-nucleotide ribosomal RNA is filed under the name uncultured bacterium. RNAcentral's name for it is "bacterial SSU rRNA". It matches the Rfam family "Bacterial small subunit ribosomal RNA", at positions 8 to 796 of the family's 1533-position model. The record is from RNAcentral.